UACGGAGGGGGCUAGCGUUGUUCGGAAUUACUGGGCGUAAAGCGCGCGUAGGCGGACUUCUAAGUCGGGGUGAAAUCCCGGGGCUCAACCCCGGAACUGCCUUCGAUACUGGGAGUCUGGAGUUCGAGAGAGGUGAGUGGAAUUCCGAGUGUAGAGGUGAAAUUCGUAGAUAUUCGGAGGAACACCAGUGGCGAAGGCGGCUCACUGGCUCGAUACUGACGCUGAGGUGCGAAAGCGU
Molecule: ribosomal RNA, 238 nt
Filed under: uncultured bacterium
Lineage: Bacteria
Description: partial 16S ribosomal RNA
Rfam family: Bacterial small subunit ribosomal RNA
Source: RNAcentral